AUGCAAGGCGCCGCCGUCGAGGGGAGGAUUAGGGAUUCGCCGGACAAGGCCGGCGAGAGCGCCAAGAAGGCGCGGCUGGACCUGCCCGAAGGCCAUGUGAGGCAAGAGGCGGCCGGAGGAGGAGACGGAGGCGCCAUCGUCGCGGCGGCGUACAGCCCGCGAGUGGAGCUCGCCGUGAGGAUCGACAAGCAAGUGCUCCACUGCCCCCUCUGCACCGUCCCCUUCAAGCCUCCCGUAUUCCAGUGCAAAGCGGGGCACCUGGCCUGUGGUAGCUGCGUGGUCCAGCUGCCCUUUGGGCAGUGCAAGCCAUGCGUGAACGGCGGCGGCUUCUUCAACCCCUGCCCUGCGCUGGAUGCCGUGGUGUCCUCUACCAGGAUCGGGUGCCCCAACGCCGGCUGCCAAAGGUACGUGACCUACCACGAGGUCGCCGAGCACCAGAAAGCGUGCCCGCACGCGCCCUGCCACUGCAUGGAGCCCGGCUGCGGCUACGCCGGCGCGCCGCAGGCGCUCGCCGGCCACCUCUACACCAUCCACUCGGUGCCGGUGCGCGCCGUGCAGUACGGCAAGGUCAGCAAGUUCCAGCUACCGGUGUCGGCACCGCGGCUGGUACUCCUCGGCGACGAUAACAACCACGUGUUCGUCCUGACCGUGGGCGCGCUCGGCGCCGGCGCGGCCGCCGUGUCGGUGGUGUGCGCCAGGGCGAGGGCGGCGACGCGGCCCCGAUUCACGUGCAAGAUGUGGGUCAACCUGGAGCGGCCCCCGGCGGCGGCGGCGAACUGCAGCAAGCAGGACAUGGUGCUGGUGGACAUGCAUAUAAGGAGCAGCUCGUCGCCCGGGGCGGUGGCCGCCGCCGACGAGCCGACAUUCCUGCCGGUGCCGCGGAUGUACCUGGUUCCAGCAGCAGCAGGGGAGGGGGUGCCCAUGGAAGUUCCCCUGCACAUCCGCAUCGACAAGGUCUCCCCUUGGUCCGUGUGA
RNAcentral lists this ribosomal RNA (975 nucleotides) under Triticum aestivum (bread wheat). RNAcentral's name for it is "partial small subunit ribosomal RNA". Lineage: Eukaryota; Viridiplantae; Streptophyta; Magnoliopsida; Poales; Poaceae. The record is from RNAcentral.